GAGUUUGAUCCUGGCUCAGAUUGAACGCUGGCGGCAUGCCUUACACAUGCAAGUCGAACGGCAGCACGGGAGCUUGCUCCUGGUGGCGAGUGGCGAACGGGUGAGUAAUGCAUCGGAACGUAUCCUGGAGUGGGGGAUAACGUAGCGAAAGUUACGCUAAUACCGCAUAUUCUGUGAGCAGGAAAGCGGGGGACCUUCGGGCCUCGCGCUCUUGGAGCGGCCGAUGUCGGAUUAGCUAGUUGGUGAGGUAAAGGCUCACCAAGGCGACGAUCCGUAGCAGGUCUGAGAGGAUGAUCUGCCACACUGGAACUGAGACACGGUCCAGACUCCUACGGGAGGCAGCAGUGGGGAAUUUUGGACAAUGGGGGCAACCCUGAUCCAGCCAUGCCGCGUGAGUGAAGGAGGCC
RNAcentral lists this ribosomal RNA (407 nucleotides) under bacterium enrichment culture clone ALO1_GLFRUDD03GATQK. Its description in RNAcentral is "bacterial SSU rRNA". It matches the Rfam family "Bacterial small subunit ribosomal RNA", at positions 9 to 416 of the family's 1533-position model. The record is from RNAcentral.